Molecule: unclassified non-coding RNA, 570 nt
Filed under: Hevea brasiliensis (rubber tree)
Lineage: Eukaryota; Viridiplantae; Streptophyta; Magnoliopsida; Malpighiales; Euphorbiaceae
Source: RNAcentral
AAUCGAACCUGGACUUCGGGCCUAUCAGAAAGCGAGAGCUGCUGGGGAGCCAUUGUCUCAGAGUGCCUUGAUGGCGCAUAUCAAUACCAAGGUCGGUGACAAUUUUGUUCGUGGAUUGGAAUCCAACGACGAUCAGUCAGAUAUUGUGGAAGCAGAAGAGAAACCCGCGAAAAACCGAGUAGCAAGGUUCCUUGUGCUCGGUGGAGCUGUUGCUCUGGCUUGCACUCUUGAUCAAGGGCUGUUGACCAAGGCUCUCAUCUUCGGUGUUGCACGGAAAUUUGUAGGGCAGAGGAACACAUUGUAGCAUUACCUGAUCUCUGUCACUAAUCCUCUGAGCCAAUCUGCUUAUUGGAUGAACACUGGCACAUUCACUGUCUUGGCAUGGAGGAAUUGAGGAGGAGAUGAUGAUCCAAUGGCUGACAUUGGCCUGUGGCACAUGCCAUGAUGCCAUUGAGGGCAGAUGAAGGACUUCGAUGUAUAUACAACGCCGGCUGUUGGAUAAUGAGAAAGAGAGGCAAUGGAGUAAAAAAUCUGUACUUUUACAUUUGGAAAAGGAAUUCCAGCUAUAUA